RNAcentral lists this ribosomal RNA (458 nucleotides) under uncultured bacterium. RNAcentral describes it as "partial 16S ribosomal RNA". It matches the Rfam family "Bacterial small subunit ribosomal RNA", at positions 338 to 795 of the family's 1533-position model. The record is from RNAcentral.
CCUACGGGUGGCAGCAGUGGGGAAUAUUGCACAAUGGGGGAAACCCUGAUGCAGCGACGCCGCGUGAGUGAAGAAGUAUUUCGGUAUGUAAAGCUCUAUCAGCAGGGAAGAAAUAUCGACCUUUGGGUCGCCAGCCGGUACCUGACUCAGAAGCCCCGGCUAACUACGUGCCAGCAGCCGCGGUAAUACGUAGGGGGCAAGCGUUUUCCGGAUUUACUGGGUGUAAAGGGGGCGUAGCCGGCAGCACAAGUCUGAAGUGAAAUGCCGGGGCUUAACCCCGGAACUGCUUUGGAAACUGUGAAGCUAGAGUGCAGGAGAGGUAAGUGGAAUUCGUAGUGUAGCGGUGAAAUGCGUAGAUAUUAGGAGGAACACCAGUGGCGAAGGCGGCUUACGGGACUGUAACUGACGUUGAGGCUCGAAAGCGUGGGUAGCAAACAGGAUUAGAUACCCCGGUAGUC